AGGGUUUGAUUCUGGCUCAGGAUGAACGCUGGCGGCGUGCUUAACACAUGCAAGUCGAACGAAGCAUCUUCACGGAAUUCCUUCGGGAAGGAAGCGAUUAUGACUGAGUGGCGGACGGGUGAGUAACGCGUGGAUAACCUGCCUCACACAGGGGGAUAACAGUUAGAAAUGACUGCUAAUACCGCAUAAGCGCACAGCACCGCAUGGUGCAGUGUGAAAAGCUCCGGCGGUGUGAGAUGGAUCCGCGUCUGAUUAGGCAGUUGGCGGGGUAGAGGCCCACCAAACCGACGAUCAGUAGCCGGCCUGAGAGGGCGACCGGCCACAUUGGGACUGAGACACGGCCCAG
This 346-nucleotide ribosomal RNA is filed under the name uncultured bacterium. Its description in RNAcentral is "bacterial SSU rRNA". It matches the Rfam family "Bacterial small subunit ribosomal RNA", at positions 8 to 334 of the family's 1533-position model. The record is from RNAcentral.